UACCAGGUUGGAAAAGCAGAGCUGCCCUACC
Molecule: non-coding RNA, 31 nt
Filed under: Mus musculus (house mouse)
Lineage: Eukaryota; Metazoa; Chordata; Mammalia; Rodentia; Muridae
Source: RNAcentral